CUUUUGGGUACACAUGCCCUUCCUCAGGCAUAGGAGAGUGCAAAGCUUGUAAAAUUACAUCCUUCACACACAUUUUGUGUGCACAAAUUGCCAAGCUGUUCACAUUUGACCAAUGCUGCUAUAUCGCUUGCAAUGAGAGAGAAGGCAAGUUGUCCAAAGUCACACAGCAAGUCAAAGGUCAAAUUGAGAAGAGACCCAGAUGUCAAUAUUAGUACUCUGGCAACAUGAAGACAUUAUCCCCCUCCAUACUAUGGAAAGUACAUCCCUUUUCAAAGGGCUUUUAAGUCUGUGGAGAAAAGGGCCAAGAAUUAUUAUCUGUCAAAACAGACACUGUUACUGCUCGCUUGCUGUGUGCCACACAGGAAAAUUAGGCACGUGGUUUAGAACUGCCAAUCCCUAGCAAUUUGUAAAUAAUGAAUCACGCCCCAAAUAAUAUGAUACUGAUUUUUUUUUAAAUCUUUAGACCUAAAAAGAAUGGAAAAUGUAUUAAUUUAAUUUUCCUUUGGGUUUUCAGUCUUUUAGGAUGCAUAUUUAGGAGCCUGUUCCCCUGCCAACCAUGUAAGUUUGAAACUUGCUUUAAAAAAAAUUAAAGCUGAGAUUGUUAUUUUGCAAAAAUACAGCACUUAAUAUUACAAGAAACAUGAAAAAAGUUGUUAGAAUUUGCACAGUGGAGACAUGACAAUGUGCUUUUCACAAUAUUUUCCAAUCUGCUCACAUUUUGGAAAAGCAGUCAGAAGAGGCAUAGAAACAUCUGUCUAUCUAUCUAGCUCUAUAUCUUGUCUCUGCUCUGGCCAUCACCACAUUCAUCGAAGGAAGACACAAGAACCAUAAAACCAAUGCGAAAGAACCUAUCUGAAUGGACUCCACUUGAAUGAGCAAGAAAAUAGCCUUCUGGGACCAGCGCUGGGAAGACUGAAAAGAAGACCUUUAAACUAGGAACUUGAAGGAGAGGGUUAAGAGAAACCCACAACAUCUUCAUGCUGAAAGCUCUGGGGUACCAGAGAGCAAGACAAUAGCUUUGAAAGGAGAUCCCAUGAAUGAAAGCAGCAAUCUCCUGACACAUCAUCACUCAGACUGCAAAGAAAGGUGACCACUCCUUUGGCAUAUAUUCUUGGACAGUCCAAUGGGCAUGGAUGAGCUACAAGAAUGAGCUCAUACUCCAGUACACAGUUCCCUUCACAAAACUCAUUAUUAAUUUAGACGUUAACUGCUCUGGGCUUCUUAACAGUGUUUUAAACUGCCUUUGCAGUACUACCCUACCAGGGUGCAGACUGUCCUUAGAAACUGACACUUUGAUUUUAACAGAGGCUCUACACAAACAGAUGCUGCUGAUUUUGGAGGAACGUGAUGACAUUUCUCACUUCUCAUCUGUCACAUUGGGACACAUGCUGCCCUUGACCUAUGGAUACAACUCUUACUGAGUUUCUGGAACCUUAUGUACUGUCUUGCUUUUUUGGGCAGACUGUUUGGAAGCAACGGGAGCCUUUGGCUUGCACAGGAGGAUCUGAUUUGUUCAUUUGCCUCUGCAGUGUAAGGGCAACACACAGCCCUUUUUUUACUGACCUUUGGAUAGGGUAUUGUUUCUCUUGAUAGUUUUAAAUCCUCUGUUUUUCUCAGGGCUUUUGAUGUGGCCCAUGAAUGGGUUUCAAUAAACAUCUGCUUAGCUUUAUUGUUACAAGAUUGUUAUGUGGUUUGCUUGUUUGUUUGUUUAAACAUAUGUGCCUAGAAUGUCCAUGACAAUAAAGACCUCUGUCAAGUCUUCUGCAUCAUUGAAGGAAGGGACUCCCAUCAGAUUAAUCUCAAUUGGGGAGAGAUGCAGAAAGUGUACUGUAUUUGAGAGAGCUACCUUUAUAACUUUAAUGCCUUGCAGAUUCACUCCAUGACCUCUAGACAUCCAGUUCUAAGAUAUUUUGAGAGAUGAACUCAGAGGCAAUAGAUGCAAAGGCAGCAGAGUGAAGCACCCAAGAAAAUGUUGAAUGCAGCACUGUCAUCAUAGCCUCUUGCCUGCAGUUUCUUCUUACUAUACCCUCUUGCUUCCAGGAAAUAGUUCUGAUCAUUCAAGGAUUUCAUUAGGACUGCAGAUCACCCACCUUGAGGAUGAUUCUUGCAAGUUGUGGUGUUGGAAAGAUGUAUCCUGCCGUAUCUACACAUGACCCCCACAAUCCUUCCCACCUGAGAGAAAAACUGAUUGAGAACUUGAGAAGGUCAUCCUUAUGGAUGUAAGGUCUCUUCAUCUGUCUUCCAUACAAAACAAUCUAACCUGUAAUUGGUAGAUAUGGUCAUCAUCAACUGCUCUUAACAAGACAUCACUCCCUUUUUCUAUCAAGUUAGUCCUGAGCCUCAAGCACAUCUAAAAAAAAAAAGUUAUUUUCACUUCAG
Long non-coding RNA from Alligator sinensis (Chinese alligator), 2379 nucleotides. RefSeq lists it as uncharacterized. The record is from RefSeq and is a predicted model, not a curated record. The transcript has 3 exons. Lineage: Eukaryota; Metazoa; Chordata; Crocodylia; Alligatoridae.